Molecule: ribosomal RNA, 386 nt
Filed under: Serratia sp. (in: enterobacteria)
Lineage: Bacteria; Pseudomonadati; Pseudomonadota; Gammaproteobacteria; Enterobacterales; Yersiniaceae
Description: bacterial SSU rRNA
Rfam family: Bacterial small subunit ribosomal RNA
Source: RNAcentral
AUUGAACGCUGGCGGCAGGCUUAACACAUGCAAGUCGAGCGGUAGCACAGGGGAGCUUGCUCCCUGGGUGACGAGCGGCGGACGGGUGAGUAAUGUCUGGGAAACUGCCUGAUGGAGGGGGAUAACUACUGGAAACGGUAGCUAAUACCGCAUAACGUCGCAAGACCAAAGAGGGGGACCUUCGGGCCUCUUGCCAUCAGAUGUGCCCAGAUGGGAUUAGCUAGUAGGUGGGGUAAUGGCUCACCUAGGCGACGAUCCCUAGCUGGUCUGAGAGGAUGACCAGCCACACUGGAACUGAGACACGGUCCAGACUCCUACGGGAGGCAGCAGUGGGGAAUAGUUGCACAAUGGGCGCAAGGCCUGAUGGCAGCCAUGCCGCGUGUGUG